RNAcentral lists this unclassified non-coding RNA (294 nucleotides) under Hevea brasiliensis (rubber tree). Lineage: Eukaryota; Viridiplantae; Streptophyta; Magnoliopsida; Malpighiales; Euphorbiaceae. The record is from RNAcentral.
GUCCGAUAAGUGAUCCAGAACCUAGGACAAUAUUUGCUAACCAUUGUGCCCAAUCCGCAAUCAACUGUGAUAAUAUCAACGUCCAGUGGAUGCCUUCCCUCCUCUGUUCAGCAUUCCAAAUAUCUUCUAUUGUGAGUCCCCUCACUGCUGUAGGCAUAUCAUCGUGUUCGCGAGUACCAAGUAGAGGUUCGCUCAAGCCAUCAUAACCUGACGAGUCAAAAUGCUCUUCCCUUUUUCCAUCAACAUCCCCGUGAUGAAGUCUCCUCCUCAAAGUUCUUGCCGACAUGAAUCAAA